Molecule: long non-coding RNA, 438 nt
Filed under: Felis catus (domestic cat)
Lineage: Eukaryota; Metazoa; Chordata; Mammalia; Carnivora; Felidae
Description: lncRNA (ENSFCAG00000050780.1)
Source: RNAcentral
UUUAAAGAAAAAGGAAGGCAAAGAAAUGAGCUAUAGGAAGUCGUGAGCCUUCUCUACAAACUUUUCUGAAAAAAGACAGUUUCAGACCACGUCACGGUGUCCUGAGUCGUAGCUGACUGAGCGCCCUUACUUCCACGUGGCCAGAACGGACGGAGGCAACCGUCGUGGGUGAGAAGUUCUUGUCAUUUGUGAUCCUUUAUUGUUAAUUCUCGUCGUGUAUUUGGCCUGCCGCUUUGUUUUGGUUGUCAGAGUUUGUUACCGAGACAAGAGUCCGAUCAUCCUGUUCCGACAGCCGCAGAUUGAGUUGGCAUGAAACACCAUGAGUAUUAUUUUCUGUAGCUCCUGCUACAUGCUGAUUUACCGUGGAGCUGAGAUUUUAGCUUCAGCAUCCUCAACUUGACGGACCCUCCCCAGACUCUGAAACCAGGAGGAAGCAGC